CGUGCAGGCGGUGUCUUAAGUCGGAUGUGAAAUCUCCCGGCUCAACUGGGAGGGUGCAUUCGAUACUGGGGCACUUGAGGGCAGGAGAGGGAAGCAGAAUUCCCGGUGUAGCGGUGGAAUGCGCAGAUAUCGGGAGGAAUACCAGUGGCGAAGGCGGCUUCCUGGCCUGUUCCUGACGCUGAGACGCGAAAGCUAGGGUAGCGAACG
Molecule: ribosomal RNA, 207 nt
Filed under: uncultured bacterium
Lineage: Bacteria
Description: partial 16S ribosomal RNA
Rfam family: Bacterial small subunit ribosomal RNA
Source: RNAcentral